This is a long non-coding RNA of Anolis carolinensis (green anole), 2358 nucleotides long. RefSeq lists it as uncharacterized. The record is from RefSeq and is a predicted model, not a curated record. The transcript has 2 exons. NCBI's taxonomy places the organism in Eukaryota, Metazoa, Chordata, Lepidosauria, Squamata, Anolidae.
AGCUCUUGGGAGUAGGUGGAAAACCUGUUUUUCGUUGCUGCAGAAACCUGCCCUUUGUUUCCAGAGAAAUGUUCCAAUAAGUGAAUCAUUCUGUACUACAAAAUCAAAGACAACUCAGAGAGAUCUUUGGAGACCCCCAAACAGCAUUUGUAUUAUGUGAUGGAACUAGAUGAUGCCCAUUCGGAUUACUCUUUGGAUACCUUUGCUUGCUGUCAUCAGUGCAGAGAAAGGGGGAUGGAUUGUGCCUAUGCUACAAAUCUCAGCUGGAAACAGAGCUCCAUGCAAACUCCUGGCCGUCUGCCUGCGUGACUAGGAAGAAGGCGGGGGAGAUCUGCAGUGAUGGCAACACAGAAGAUGAGAUGAUGGUCAAAGGGGUGCCCUGUGUGGUUUCAGCUCAGCUGGACAAUGUGGAUACCAACCUCUGGGUUUGCAAGAGUAUGUGUAGCUGACACCAGGGCGAGCCUGGAGCAUUUCUGUUUCUUACCAAUAUGGACUCGCUCUUUCUGUACCUCAGAAUAGUAACUGCUGAGAGAUAACAGCAGGAGCAUGCUAUCAUGGCCCUGACCAUUUUGAGGCAUUCAUAUGGGAAUAUAGUUGGCCACAAUUGGAGUAACCUGGCUCUUCUUACAUUCUUAUCUGCUGAAAUGUUAUGCUUUUAACUGGAACAGAACAUCUGGAUUGCCACAUCUAAAAAGGAUUGUUUCUUUUGACAAUGGAUUGUUACAGAGCUUGGAAAGAAAAUUGUAACCAUAUGACAAGGGGAGUGUGCUACAAGGAUAUAAUGUAACAAUGAUUGUCUUAAAAUGUAAAGCAGAGGCUUUUUGAUGUAGAAAAAAAAGACAGUUGUUAUACAGCUAUUAAAAUAUGUGCUUUGGAGUUAUUGGAGGGUAUUUGAGUUUUCUUCCUCUAACAUUAGAAUUUGAAGUCAUAUACCCUUCAAGAAGUUUUGCCGACCAGCAACAGAGUGUGAUCAAGAUGGCAAAAGUUAUUAAAAGGAAAGAACAAACAGACAAGUUAGGAGAGACUGCAGCAGUUUCCUUCUGCUUGAACCUUUUGGGAAGGGCAAGAUUCUGUCCCCACUUUUCCCUUUGUUGAGUUAACUGAAUGCAAAUUAUUCCUGCACCAUGGCCUCAGUUUUCAGUAGCUGAAGCAAGUGAAGUGCACAUUGGUAAAGUAUGAUGAAGUGGAGAAAGUAACUGAGACACUUCUUUAAAAAGCUGAAAAAGUGGGAGGACCAAGGAUUAACUGAGCCAGUCCUUGGCAAAUCAAGACAAUAGAAGGGUAUGGAGUCAUCCAAUAAAGAGAGAUUUGACAAUAAAAUGAAUAAUAAUCAUGAUGUUAUCAAUAGGAAGGCGAAACACCAGGUACUGGGAAUACAGGCAAGAGAGGCCUAUUGCCUUUAUAUCCAGGUUUUGCAGUUACUUAGUUGUCCACUGAGGAAUACAGAUGUUCUAGUGGAUAGGCCUUUGUUCUGAUCCAGUAGUGAUUCAUACAGAUCUGAGCUUAGAGUCUGCUGAAACAGAAGUGACCCUUUCCUGGUUGCAUUCAACCCCUGCUUUAUGGAAAUUUUUGUCUCACGUAACCUUGAGAGAUCCUAACUUCAUUGAAGGUCAGGAGGAUACCCUGUGAUGUCUAUAGCAAUGUUGAUACAUUUACAAUUGUUUGCUGUCAUAAUAACAUACAGAUAUGUUUCUCCAAACACUUGAGGACGUGCUCUGGCCUUCAUAACUGACUGUGUUCACUGGAGUGAAUCCACUGACUAUUUGGAAAGACAACUAGUUUUCACACUUGUAAAUACAGGUAUGAUUCUAGUACAUGCCUGCACAACCUGUGUCCCUCCAGGUGUUUGAGAUCCAAACUCCCAGAAGCCCUAGCAAGCUUGUCUAAUAGUCAGGAAUUCUAGGAAUUAAAGUCCAAACACCUGGAGGACCACAAGUAGUGCAGGCCUGGUCUAGGGUAUCCCUAGAAAAUGUAUAUGCCAUGUGUCAUGGGCACUCGAAUCCCCAUUUCUGUUAACCAAACCUAGCAUUCUAGUUGCUAUGCUACAGUGGCACUUACAUUUAGUUCUCAUGGGAGUUGUGGGAAUGAAAAAUAAAGAUGACAACAUUCACUCGGUUUUGAAAACAAACAUUUCCCUGCUAGCUCCUUUCUAAGUAGCUUUUCUUCUUUUUUCUUCUUCCAGGUAAGAACCAAAAGCAAAUAAUCUCAAGAGGUUGAUUGCUUGCUCACCUGCACAUUCAGAGACUCCAUAUGCAGCCUGACAAAGGCAUAGAGCUUGUUUAAAGUUUUAAUUCUUCAAUGCCUUUUAAGAUAGAUUGGAGCAGUCUGAUACUACAUUCCACAAAAUAUACUAACAUU